RNAcentral lists this long non-coding RNA (782 nucleotides) under Malus domestica (apple). Its description in RNAcentral is "long non-coding RNA (MDOM_LNC009429)". The record is from RNAcentral. Lineage: Eukaryota; Viridiplantae; Streptophyta; Magnoliopsida; Rosales; Rosaceae.
UCCUCAAGUAUAUUACCACGACUUCCAUAUAGUCUACAGUGAUUCAUAUCGGGUUCCCGUGCUGUAUUUUCGCAGUUACUACAUCGGUAUGUUAACCUGUUAUCAGCUACUUAAGCAGCAAAAUUCAGUGAAUCGCUUUGGAAUCCAUGGUUGAUUCUUGCUAGUAAAAUGCAAGUGUUAAUCUUCGUAACAUUGAACGAUAUAUAUAGAUGGACAGCCUUUGGCAUUGGAAGAAAUCGAAAAGGACCUACCUGCUUGCUCAUCGAAGGUUUUACUGGAAUCAAAAUGGACAUUUAUAACUCAGGAGGUACGUAUUCCUCAAUCUCCGUCGCAAUCAUUUCACUUAUCUUUCGAUGCUUGCUUUCUGUUCUUGCCAAACUUCUUUGUUCCGUUAGAGUUACUUUGCAAAGAUUUGUAUAAACGAUGCAUAUACAGGUUAGGUCAAUUGGCCAAGGCAGUAUGUCCGCUCUUCAAAUCCACAUCCUGUAGAUUAGAAUAAUUUAGAACAUAUAAAGGAAAGACAUUCUUUCUAGUUGCUAAUAUUGAAUCAAACAUCUGAACAUAUAUGGUAUUUGUAGGAGCAUCCAUACCUGAACAGACCAUGGUAUAAGCUGCAUCCACGUGGAACCAGUGAGUGGAUGAAGCUGGUUUUCCUUGGUGAUAAUUCUCUGCCUAAAAAUGAAGUUGCAGUUGAACAAUAUUUGGCAUCUUGGCUCUCGGUUGUAGGUCAAGUGGUUGGCAUUAGAAUCCCUUUAGAGAUGCUGAACAAUCAUAAAAGUUGU